This is a long non-coding RNA of Eupeodes corollae, 507 nucleotides long. RefSeq lists it as uncharacterized. Lineage: Eukaryota; Metazoa; Arthropoda; Insecta; Diptera; Syrphidae. The record is from RefSeq and is a predicted model, not a curated record. The transcript has 2 exons.
UCUCUCAAGUUUCCCUUUUUAUUUUCUUACCAUGUGGUUCUGGUUCCAAUCCAACUACAGAUUAUUCUACAAUAUUUUAUUAUGAUGCAACUUUGCAAAUGAAUUUCCAUCUAAAUUUAAAAUAGUUUAGGUAUAAAUACGAGUUGAUAAUACGAGAAAGAAUCAUAUUUGAAUCAGUUAUCAUUCAAGUUAGUAAUAAUCAAAUUACAAAUAAAAAUCUAAUCAUGAAGGCUUUCAUUUUCUUCGUUCUCUUCUGCUUGGCUGUAGCCUCAGCAUCAGUUAUUGGACCAAUUGCUGUUGGUGGUGUUGCUGUUUCAUCAUUAGGUGUCCCAUUGGCUGCUCCUGGUGUUGUUGUCGGUGGUCUUGGUGUUCCCGGAUUGAUUGCUCCAGGAUUAGUCGGGGGAUUAAGAGUUAUUGGAUAAAUAAUGAUUUUGGCCCCAAAGAAAAAGAGAAUACAAUUUUUUGUAAAGAAUUUCGUGACAAUAUAACAUUAUAAAACUAAAAUUA